This 63-nucleotide transfer RNA is filed under the name Brachylecithum sp. PakAb2. RNAcentral describes it as "tRNA-His". Lineage: Eukaryota; Metazoa; Platyhelminthes; Trematoda; Plagiorchiida; Dicrocoeliidae. The record is from RNAcentral.
UCUUUCUUAGGUUAAUUUUGAAACUAUCAGUUUGUGGGGCUGGGGAUCUAUGUGGAGAGGGAA